AAAUGUUAUAAAAGAACAAAUUAUGUAAAACACACUCUCUCAAAUAAAGGAGUUGAUGUAUGGAAUUCGUUAGAAACAAAACUUAAUGAAGUAAACUCCUAUAACACCUUUAAAAAGAGAAUUAAACAACAUUUUUUGCUAUACACAAUUACCAAUAUAUAAAACAUACUUCUCUAAUGUAUAUAAUGACAUAUACUUUAGUCUAUUGUGCCCAACAUUGUCAUUGUAAAAUUAAAUGCAUCUACAACAUUACUAUUAAUUUAUAUAAUACGAACAUUCCCACUUCUUUUUCUCUCUUGUAAAUAUAGUGUAUAUACUUCAAAACUUUCUGAUUUUAAAUAUUAUGUAUUGAUUGACUGUAAAUAAUCGAUUAUGUGAUAAAACGAACAGUAACUAGAGACCUAAAAUAAAAAGUCUAUGAAGAUUUCUAGUAGGUCUCUAGCCCAACAUCUUCAAAUUAUUGUAAUAUAUUUUAAGUAGAUUUU
This is a non-coding RNA of Paramuricea clavata, 485 nucleotides long. The record is from the annotation of a GenBank genome assembly. Lineage: Eukaryota; Metazoa; Cnidaria; Anthozoa; Malacalcyonacea; Plexauridae.